CACAGGGUCCCUGCUGGUGCCAGCCUGGAGUUCCCUCCCUGUGAGCUGUGCCCGGGAUGAUCCAUCAGAGCCUGGCACAUCCUGGCACGAGGCAGGGAGGGCACAGGAGCUUGGACGCGCUCCCAGCUGGCAGCAGGGUGUGACAGCCACAGCCAGCCCCUGCAGGGGAUGGAUGGAUGGAUGGGUGGAUGGAUGGAUGGAUGGAUGGAUGGAUGGAUGGAUGGAUGCAUGGAUGCAUGGAUGGAUGGAUGGAUGGAGCACAGCCAGAAACGCAGGAAUCCUGUGUCCCCUCCAAAGGACACGCUGCACAGCCGCCCCACAAGCCUGGGGAUGGAUUUUUCUGCUGCCUGGAGCACGGGCUGGAAAUGCCCCACUGUAAAGUGCCAGAUCCUGCCCUUGGAUUCUGCUUCCCAACAGCUCCAGGACAUCUCUGCAGCCACCCCAGGAGCCACUGAAUUAUUGUGCUCAGUGUUCAGCCUCUCACACCCCANCCUGUUCCUUUUCCUUGGGACAGAACCUCACUGCAGGCUCCCAGGGGAACAGUUAAUGUGAGGAAAUAAGGAAACCAAACCUGCCAAAGGAGAUUUCAGUGCUGUGGGUAAUCAGGGUGGCAGCUGCCUAUGGUCCCUGUCAGGUGGGAUGGAAAGGCAUUGUUAUGAAAAGGCUCCCUGGGUGAGGUUGGGACGCAGAUUUUAGGGUGGUAUUUGGGACUAUUCCCAAAGCUCCGCCUGUCUAAGGGAGGAAAGCGUGCAUGGAGACACUGGGAGUUAACCCAAGGGGUAGCAGAGGUGCUCUGGGGCUGAUGAACAGGGAGGUGAUGCCCCAGAGUCCCCCAAAAACACUGGCAGAGCUAAGCCCAGCCUUGUGUCUCUAACCCCAGGCCUUUGGGAAGGGGCUUUGCAAGAGCCAGCAAUUGGUUUUGAAUGGACCUAGGGAGAGUGAGAGCUGCUGAUAGCUUCCAAUUAGGGGGAAAAGGAAUUGUUUUCCCCGUGAUCUCAUCCCUAGGAAGCAGCCAAAAAUCCCCCAGAGCACCCUGGCUCAGAAAGGAGCUCAUUGUUCCCCUGUCUGCUGGCACAGGGAGGGGUGAGGAGCAGGUCAAGCAGGAAAAUGUGCUCCAGCACCCCCCAGGCCCCACAGCCUGCCCUGGGUGUGCUCCCAAACGUCCCCACCCAGGCAGGGCAGCAGCUCCAGGUGAUCCCCAGCUCCGGGGACC
Molecule: long non-coding RNA, 1213 nt
Filed under: Zonotrichia albicollis (white-throated sparrow)
Lineage: Eukaryota; Metazoa; Chordata; Aves; Passeriformes; Passerellidae
Description: lncRNA (ENSZALG00000008170.1)
Source: RNAcentral